This 1051-nucleotide unclassified non-coding RNA is filed under the name Hevea brasiliensis (rubber tree). The record is from RNAcentral. Lineage: Eukaryota; Viridiplantae; Streptophyta; Magnoliopsida; Malpighiales; Euphorbiaceae.
AGAAAAGCUGACGCCAGAUUUUCUCGAGAACAUGAGAGAAAGGAAAAGAAAAGAAACUGAGCUUCACCGCCCUUUCUUCAGUACUUUUUCCUCUAUCGUUCGUAAUCCUGUGCGUCAGCCCAUUUUAUAAAUCUGCUUGUGUUUAUAGAAAAACAAAAUUCAUCAAAUCUAAAAAGAUUUUGCAGUGCCAAGGGUUUUAUUGUCCUUAGCAAGCUCAUUGAGGCGGACAAUAUUCAGUGUUGGUUGAGGGGGAAAAUUUAUAAAAAGUUGGAAACUUUGAUUUUCCAACUGAUGCUUUCAUGCCUUCUAAGUCGGUUGUCAAACUUAGAUGGAUGCUACUUCUUCUGAAUCAAAUAGCAACACCCAAAGUGACCAAUACCCCUUGUUGAUGGAACAAAUGGAUAGCCAUAAUGAUCACGAGCACAUAAUCAACUUAACAAGAAAUGAUGAUGCUUCAUCAAGCUCAUCUCAUGAUGUCCUGAAAUUGACUUACCUCUGCAUGAAGAUAGAUCAUCAGGUGGCCCCACUCAUCAAACUUCAUCUUCCUUAAAUGGAUUAAACUCUAGGAAUUCAACAUUUACAAGGAGAAGUGAUGGGUAUGACCGUCGGCGCAGGAGCCCAUUGAACUCUGCACUAUGGAUUUCCAUUGAGCUAUUUGUCACUGUGGGUCAGAUUAUAGCCUCUAUUGUUGUUUUAUCAUUGUCAAGAGAUGAAAACCCACAAGCCCCAUUAUUUGCAUGGGUUGUGGGCUAUGCAUCUGGUUGUGUUGCUACACUUCCCAUUCUUUACUGGCGUUUUCGUAACCGCUACCAGAGUGCCCAACAAGAUUCUGUUCAGUCACAUCAAGGCUCUUCCCAAGACAAUCCUCCUGACUCAUCUUAUACAGCCAUUUCUGUUUCUCAAGCUUCAGAUGAGGAGAACUUUCGCAAUACAGAAUCAACCACAAUGAAUGGUCAAGCCACAAGACCAUUAGGUGCACGGUUCAAUGGAUUAAUGGACCAUUUCAAGAUGGCUUUGGAUUGCUUCUUUGCGGUGUGGUUUGUUGUGGGCA